This is a long non-coding RNA of Pristis pectinata (smalltooth sawfish), 150 nucleotides long. RefSeq lists it as uncharacterized. The transcript is spliced from 3 exons. NCBI's taxonomy places the organism in Eukaryota, Metazoa, Chordata, Chondrichthyes, Rhinopristiformes, Pristidae. The record is from RefSeq and is a predicted model, not a curated record.
GGGUGGUAUUGAUGCAAUGCAAACUAAAAUAUUACCCCUAAUCACGAAGCUUAACCUUGUUUAACAAUCUCUUGAAUGGAACCAUAUCAAAUAUCUUUUGAAAAUCCAGAAUUAAAGCUAUUUGGGACAAACAUUGAAGAUCAUUAUGAC